UGGGAAGCAGCCUCCCUUGUGAAAGCACGCUUGUAAGUAGGCGGUGCAUAACUCACAGGCCAUGCAAAAAGCCUGGCUGAAUUCGAUUGCUUUUGAGACAGCUGGUUCUGUGGCCAUCGCUGGGCUGACUCUGUUUCUCCAUUGGAGGUCCAGUCAUCUUGGUGGCAGGUGGUUUUCUGAGAUCCACCUGCUGGGCCAUUUCAGGCCACUGAAACUCCCUUGCUGGGAUUAACUCCGCUUAAAGCUUACACUAUGUUGUUUUCGCAAAAUCCUCUUGGUUUAGGAGAGACUGAGAAGAUUCUUGGUGAAAGUUGGACAAACAGCUGAGUUAUUUGUGUCCAAAGGUAAAUCGUGCCCAGGGGCAGGCAGCCAGGGGAGAGGAGCAGAUGGCACACUGAUGACGCAGCCGCCACCAGGAGCUGGUCCAUGGAGGGGAUACAGCAACACCCGACGCUUUCACCCGGUUGAUCUGAUGAACACAGCCGAAGACUUCCGGCAGCACAGGCCUGGGUUCUCAUUUAUUACUGUCUUGGGACUUGGUGUGCUGAUUUUUGCCCAGCAAACGGUGUCAUGGUUGUGAGUGAGGUGACAGGUAAGGCUGUGGGGUCAUCGCUCGCCUCCCCAUCGCUCCCCAUCGCUCCCCAUCGCUCCCCCAUCGCUCGCCUGCACCUGGACCUCCUGGAGCCUCAGUCAGUGCAGCCAGGGCAGGUAGGACAUGGUUACCCUCCUCUGCUAGUUUCGAG
Molecule: long non-coding RNA, 743 nt
Filed under: Bos indicus x Bos taurus (hybrid cattle)
Lineage: Eukaryota; Metazoa; Chordata; Mammalia; Artiodactyla; Bovidae
Description: lncRNA (ENSBIXG00005010731.1)
Source: RNAcentral